AGUGAACGCUGGCGGUAGGCCUAACACAUGCAAGUCGAACGGCAGCACAGUAAGAGCUUGCUCUUACGGGUGGCGAGUGGCGGACGGGUGAGGAAUACAUCGGAAUCUACUUUUUCGUGGGGGAUAACGUAGGGAAACUUACGCUAAUACCGCAUACGACCUACGGGUGAAAGCAGGGGAUCUUCGGACCUUGCGCGAUUGAAUGAGCCGAUGUCGGAUUAGCUAGUUGGCGGGGUAAAGGCCCACCAAGGCGACGAUCCGUAGCUGGUCUGAGAGGAUGAUAAGCCAAACUGGAACUGAGACACGGUCCAGACCCCUACGGGAGGGAGCAGGGGGGAAUAUUGGAAAAGGGGGGAAAGCCUGAUCCAGCCAUACCGGGUGGGUGAAGAAGGCCUUCGGGUUGUAAAGCCCUUUUGUGGGGAAAAAAAAGCAGCAGGUUAAUACCCCGCUGUUCUGACGGUACCAAAAGAAUAAGCACCGGCUAACUUCGU
Molecule: ribosomal RNA, 491 nt
Filed under: uncultured bacterium
Lineage: Bacteria
Description: partial 16S ribosomal RNA
Rfam family: Bacterial small subunit ribosomal RNA
Source: RNAcentral